UUGAUGGUAGAUGCCGAAUAUUUGCAGGACAGAGUUUCAUUGAGUCUUCUGUACUUGAUGAAUUCGGCCAAUACUGGGUCAUUGCUAGGCAGGAGGGCUUUCACCAUGUAGACUGUAGAUUCUGUAUCUAAGCUCACAACUGAUGCUAAUUCUCGUAAUCGCUUGUUCUGCAAUGGCUGCCCUUUUUCAACACAAACCCCUGAAGAAACAUUCCUUUGGAAAAGGCAAGUCUAACAUAGAGAGAAAACAGAAUGGCAUCAGCUUUACCUGUAUCUUGUCCACCACCAUUGUUUGACUGUGACAUUAGGGAACCCGCCGAAUUUCCUAUUCCUUUUGAGUCAACAUUGUUUACUAGAAAUACCUGUCUCUUGUCCAAUGCCAUCACCAUCAUCACCACCAUGACCAUCACCAACAUCAUGAC
Molecule: long non-coding RNA, 421 nt
Organism: Saccostrea echinata
Lineage: Eukaryota; Metazoa; Mollusca; Bivalvia; Ostreida; Ostreidae
Exons: 6
Source: RefSeq, a predicted model, not a curated record